This 24-nucleotide small nuclear RNA is filed under the name Arabidopsis thaliana (thale cress). Its description in RNAcentral is "snRNA_07255". Lineage: Eukaryota; Viridiplantae; Streptophyta; Magnoliopsida; Brassicales; Brassicaceae. The record is from RNAcentral.
UUCAGCCAAUCAUAAAAGAGACUG